RNAcentral lists this long non-coding RNA (3766 nucleotides) under Ictidomys tridecemlineatus (thirteen-lined ground squirrel). RNAcentral's name for it is "lncRNA (ENSSTOG00000033315.1)". Lineage: Eukaryota; Metazoa; Chordata; Mammalia; Rodentia; Sciuridae. The record is from RNAcentral.
AUAGGACCACGUUAGAGAUCUGCCUAACUAAGCUCAGUGCCUUACCUUUCAGAAGAGGAUGAUGAAAAGUCAGAUAGUGAGGGCGGAGACCUGGAUAAACAGAUGGGCGAUCUCAAUGGUGAGGAAGCUGACAAACUUGAUGAGAGGCUUUGGGGUGAUGACGAGGAGGAAGAAGAGGAGGAAGAAGACAAUAAAACUGAAGAAACAGGACCAGGAAUGGAUGAGGAAGACUCUGAACUUGUUGCUAAAGAUGACAACUUGGAUGCUGGGAAUUUGAACAAAGAUGAAAAACAGAAAAAUAAGAAAGAAGAAAAGGAAGAAGCAGGAUCCAAUGAGGAGGGACAAGGCCAAGAUAAAAUUAAUGAACAAAUAGAUGAGAGAGAAUAUGAUGAAAAUGAAGUGGACCCUUACCAUGGCAAUCAGGAAAAGCUGCCAGAACCUGAGGCUCUGGACCUUCCAGAUGACUUGAAUCUUGACAGUGAAGACAAGAAUGGUAGUGAAGAUACAGACAAUGAGGAAGCAGAAGAAGAGAAUCCUUUGGAGAUCAAAGAAAAACCUAUGGAUAUGGAAGAAGCAGGUCAUGAAGCUGAAGAGAUGAAUGAAGACACUGAGACUGACCAGAAUGAUGAUGAAAAUCAACCCAAGCCUGAGGAAGGCCCCAGUGAAGAUGACAAGGUGGGAGAGGAGGAGGAGAUGGAUACAGAAGCUGAUGACCAAGACAAAGGUGCUGCCGAACAUCCUGAAGAAAACUCAGAGGAGCAGCCGCAGCCAUCUCUGGAGGAAGAAGACAGGGAAGCCACUGAGGAAGGUGGAGAUAAUGGCACCCCUGUUGACCAAGGUCUCCAGCCUCAGAAUUCGGAAGAGGAGGAGAAAUCUGACACAGAGGAGCAGUUGCCAGAGGCAAUGGAGAGGAAAGAGCAUACUUCCUAUGGGCAGACUGCUAUGGAGAACAUACAGAGUGCACAGGCCGUGGAGCUGGCUGGGGUUGCACCUGAAAAGGAGCAGGGGAAAGAGGACCAUGGGAAUGGAGCCGCAGAUGCAAACCAGGCACAAGGUCAUGAAUCCAACUUCCUUGCCCGGCUGGCCUCCCAGAAACAUACCAGGAAAAACACACAGAGUUUUAAGAGGAAACCUGGGCAGGCUGACAACGAACGCUCCAUGGGUGAUCACAAUGAGCAUGUGCAUAAAAGGCUGAGAACUGUGGAUAACGACAGCCAGGCUGAACAGGAGGCAGCCCAGCCCCAACCUCAGCCCCAUGCAGAAGACGCAGACGCAUAUGAGCACAUUAAACAAGGACAUGACACAUAUGAUGCACAGACGUAUGAUGUGGCUAGCAAGGAGCAGCAGCAGUUUGCAGAAGACUCUGGCAAAGAUCAACAAGAUGAAGAAAUAGAGGAUGCCCUCAUGGAUACAGAGAAACAGGAAGAACUCCAAACAGCAGACAUGGAACAGCUGAAGCCAGAGGAAGUCAAGUCAGGAACCACAACAGUUUCUAGCCCUGAUGAAAUGGAAGUAGAAGCUCAAAUUGUUAAACCAGAGGAACACCAAGACUCCAGAAUAGACAGAUCCUACAAGGAGAGAGAGAAUGAGAAACCAGAGAGAAGCCGAGAUUCAACCAUUCAUACCGCCCAUCAGUUUCUUAUGGAUAUAAUUUUCCAGCCCCUUAUAAAAGAUAUUAAUCAGCUAAGACAGGAGAUGGAAAGACAACUAGAAACAUGGGAGCCACAGGAAUCUGGAAACUCGGGAGAAGAGAUGGCUGCAGCUGAGAUGUGGCAGAAUUAUCUGAUCUUGACUACACCUCUUUCACAACAGUUAUGUGAGCAACUUCGUCUCAUAUUAGAACCUACUCAGGCAGCCAAAUUGAAAGGAGACUAUCGAACAGGAAAGCGACUGAACAUGCGGAAGGUCAUUCCAUACAUUGCCAGUCAAUUUCGGAAAGACAAGAUUUGGCUCCGAAGGACCAAGCCCAGUAAACGCCAGUAUCAGAUUUGUUUAGCUAUUGAUGACUCUUCUAGUAUGGUAGACAAUCACACCAAACAGCUUGCAUUUGAAUCAUUGGCUGUGAUUGGAAGUGCUCUAACCCUUCUGGAAGUGGGUCAGAUUGCAGUGUGCAGUUUUGGAGAGACAGUAAAGCUAUUACACCCAUUCCAUGAGCAGUUCAGUGAUUAUUCCGGGUCCCAGAUUCUACGGCUAUGCAAAUUCCAACAAAAGAAAACCAAGAUUGCUCAGUUUCUAGAGUCUGUAGCCAACAUGUUUGCAGCUGCUCAGCAACUCUCACAAAACAUCAGUCCAGAAACUGCACAACUUCUCCUAAUAGUCUCUGAUGGACGAGGUCUUUUUCUUGAGGGCAAAGAAAGGGUCUUGGCAGCAGUUCAGGCUGCCCAGAAUGCUAACAUCUUUAUCAUUUUUGUUGUGUUGGACAAUCCCAGUUCUCGGGAUUCUAUCUUGGACAUUAAAGUACCAAUAUUUAAAGGACCCGGAGAGAUGCCUGAAAUCCGAUCAUACAUGGAAGAGUUCCCUUUCCCAUUCUAUAUCAUCCUUCGAGAUGUGAAUGCUCUUCCUGAGACACUCAGUGAUGCCCUCAGACAGUGGUUUGAGUUGGUGACUGCCUCUGAUCACCCUUAGAACAGAAAAAGCUGUCCAAAGCAAAACUGUUUGAAUCAUGGUCAGAAUAUUGCAAAUCUUACCUGAUGCUCCCUUUUGGAUAACUGUUUCUGAAAUUAUCCCUCUAAAAUACAUUGUUUUGAUUUUUAAAAUCCACCCAACGGCUACAAAACAUAUGAAAUCUCCUUAAUAAACCUGGGACAGAGAAGGAACAAACAUAAGCGGCAGGGCUCCCGUCUCAUAACUGAGGAGGCCAUACCCUCCCUGGAUCCAGCUACGUGUUUUCCCCUUGCAGAAACAUUUCUUGAGAUGCUGUCAGGAAUGAACUGUGGACCCUUUGGCCCUACUUUAAGUUCUGCCUUGGUGAACCUAAAGGCUGUCAUGUGGCUGAGAUGCAUACAGUUUUAUGCAGAGCCUGACCGCACAAUAAAUAUGGUAAGAAAAUGCACAAAGAACUCCUCUUAGAAGACAGGAAGCCCACGCAAUCGACAUAUAUAAGUAAAAAUGAAGUGGCUUUUCAGUGUCCUCACAUUUGCUGCUUCGGGAGACUAUGCAAUAACAAAGAUAAUUUUCCCUUGAUUUCAUUCUCUCAGUGCCAUAGUUCUAUUUGUUAUAAUAAUUUAUUUUAGUUUUUAUUUUUUUCCCUUAAUAGUUUAGGAGAAGAAUCAUUCCUCCCACUGCUUUCAAGCUAGACUGAGCCAGUCUCAUUCUGGAAAAGAAAUGCUAUGUUCACAGAAUUAAGCAGCUACAUCUACUUUUUUCCCCCCCAGUUAAAAUACACCAUUGGUUUUUCUUUGGCCAGAAAGCAGUGAUGUUUGAAUACUUGAAACUGUGAGCUGUAUUCUAUUUAAUGUUCUUUUGUAGGCAACAUGCUAUGACAUAAUCAUCUCUUCAUGUCUUUUAAGUUACACUGUGAAGUCUGCCACCCUUAUAGGUGGUGAUCAUUAAACACAGAUUGCUUGUUGUUUAACCAAAUGUCCUAAAGCAUGUAUCAAGUUAUCAUUUUUUAUUCUCGAAAACUAUGCAGUUUAUAUUCUGAAAGUUAUUAAAAUAAUACAACAUUGUUCAGAUAUGUUGUGAUUCCCCACACACAUUCCUGUGGAUUGAACCCAAGGAUGCUCUAUCACUGACCUAGCUAUAGCCUCGGCCCUUCUUAGUGAAA